AAAUACGAAUCAAAGGUCACAUUUGAAUUUAAGUUUGGCGAUUGCUUGAUCAAAGAAGGAGGAGUUCGCCCAAUAUAUGCCUCAGAAUACAGAGAGUUCCUUCAACAAAAGGAAUUGGAGUUGAAGUUAAUAACAGGAAAAAAGAGGUGUCGGAGUAUUGAUGAUGAGCCACAGCAACCCACUGCCACAAAGAAAUGGAAGAUGUCUUCAAUCCUUCAACCUGUUCCCCUGAGUUCUGAGUCCAAGACAUCUCAUGAUGUUGAUGAGUUGAUAUUUUCUCUAUCACAAUUGAAUUUGGAAAGCACGAAGGAUAGCAUUCGUCACAUAUAAAUUAUCUGUGAUUCCUGUUCUGUGUGUAGCAAUAGGCAAUAUGCAGUUGAGUUGGAUUAAAGAUUGAGGGGUGCUAUUUGUUACCUUGAAGCAGAGUACUAAAGUGAUGCAUGUAUGACUUUGAGCAGAUUAACUUCCUAUUGGUUUUUCACCCUUGCUUCGAAAAUAGUAACUAUUUAGAAUUACUUCUUCUAACAUAACUGUGAGCAGAUUUGUAUUCCUUUUCUACUAUGUUGUCACGGAAAUGAAUUGUAAACAUGAGCUCAAGAACAUAAUGCUGAUCAUACCUGUGAGUUUCUUGCACUUUUA
Long non-coding RNA from Neltuma alba, 639 nucleotides. RefSeq lists it as uncharacterized. NCBI's taxonomy places the organism in Eukaryota, Viridiplantae, Streptophyta, Magnoliopsida, Fabales, Fabaceae. The record is from RefSeq and is a predicted model, not a curated record. The transcript has 2 exons.